This 406-nucleotide ribosomal RNA is filed under the name uncultured bacterium. RNAcentral's name for it is "partial 16S ribosomal RNA". It matches the Rfam family "Bacterial small subunit ribosomal RNA", at positions 29 to 526 of the family's 1533-position model. The record is from RNAcentral.
AAUGAACGCUGGUGGCAGGCCUAACACAUGCAAGUCGAACGAGUUUCGGACUGUUGAGUAAUGUCUGGGAAACUGCCUGAUGGAGGUGGAUAACUCCUGGCAACGGUCGCUAAUACCGCAUACCACCGUCUUGGCCCCGAUGGGAUUAGCUAGUAGGUGGGGUAAAGGCUCACCUGGGCGACGAUCCCUCUCUGGUCUUGUAGGAUGACCAGCCACACUGGAACUGAGACACGGUCCAGACUCCUACGUGAGGCAGCAGUGGGGAUUACUGCACAAUGGGCGCAAGCCUGAUGCAGCCAUGCCGCGUGUAUGAAGAAGGCCUUCGGGUUGUAAAGUACUUUCAGCGGGGAGGCGGGACACGAAGAAGAAGCACCGGCUAACUCCGUGCCAGCAGACGCGGUAAGGC